Molecule: ribosomal RNA, 575 nt
Filed under: uncultured bacterium
Lineage: Bacteria
Description: bacterial SSU rRNA
Rfam family: Bacterial small subunit ribosomal RNA
Source: RNAcentral
AUGCGCGUCCUAUGCAUGCAAGUCGUACGCACGCGCUUCGGCGCGUGAGUGGCGCACGGCUGAGUAACACGUGGGAACCCGCCCUCCGGUGGGGGAUAACGCGACGAAAGUCGCGCUAAUCCCGCAUACGUCCGCAAGGGGAAAGCGCUUCGGCGCGCCGGAGGAGGGGCCUGCGGCCCAUCAGGUGGUUGGUGGGGUAACGGCCUACCAAGCCGAUGACGGGUAGCUGGUCUGGGAGGAUGACCAGCCAGACUGGGACUGAGACACGGCCCAGACUCCUACGGGAGGCAGCAGCAAGGAAUUUUCGGCAAUGGGCGCAAGCCUGACCGAGCAACGCCGCGUGCGGGAUGACGGCCUUCGGGUUGUAAACCGCUUUUCGGGGGGACGACUACGACGGUACCCCCGGAAGAAGCCCCGGCUAACUCUGUGCCAGCAGCCGCGGUAAGACAGAGGGGGCGAGCGUUGUCCGGAGUUACUGGGCGUAAAGCGCGCGCAGGCGGUGGUCUCAGUGUCGUGUGAAAGCCCCCGGCUCAACCGGGGGAGGUCAUGGCAAACUAGACGACUGGAGCGGCGGA